AGCACUUGUGUAUGCUUUUGUAUCAUUUGUGGACAAAAACUUAUAGACAGGUACAAAAAUCCUCUUUUGCAACUGAGAGCUCCCUGUUCAGCAUCAAUUCUGAUACAGAUAAGAAGGAACAUG
Cervus hanglu yarkandensis (Yarkand deer) is the source of this 123-nucleotide small nucleolar RNA. The record is from Ensembl. NCBI's taxonomy places the organism in Eukaryota, Metazoa, Chordata, Mammalia, Artiodactyla, Cervidae.